Molecule: ribosomal RNA, 477 nt
Filed under: uncultured bacterium
Lineage: Bacteria
Description: partial 16S ribosomal RNA
Rfam family: Bacterial small subunit ribosomal RNA
Source: RNAcentral
AUUGAACGCUGGCGGCAUGCCUUACACAUGCAAGUCGAACGGUAACAGGUUAAGCUGACGAGUGGCGAACGGGUGAGUAAUGUAUCGGAACGUGCCCAGUCGUGGGGGAUAACUGCUCGAAAGAGCAGCUAAUACCGCAUACGACCUGAGGGUGAAAGCGGGGGAUCGCAAGACCUCGCGCGAUUGGAGCGGCCGAUAUCAGAUUAGGUAGUUGGUGAGGUAAAGGCUCACCAAGCCGACGAUCUGUAGCUGGUCUGAGAGGACGACCAGCCACACUGGGACUGAGACACGGCCCAGACUCCUACGGGAGGCAGCAGUGGGGAAUUUUGGACAAUGGGCGCAAGCCUGAUCCAGCCAUGCCGCGUGCGGGAAGAAGGCCUUCGGGUUGUAAACCGCUUUUGUCAGGGAAGAAAAGGUUCUGGCUAAUACCUGGGACUCAUGACGGUACCUGAGGAAUAAGCACCGGCUAACUACGUG